RNAcentral lists this transfer RNA (73 nucleotides) under Fasciola gigantica. RNAcentral's name for it is "tRNA-Ser". It matches the Rfam family "tRNA". From Rfam's summary of the family: Transfer RNA (tRNA) molecules are approximately 80 nucleotides in length. Their secondary structure includes four short double-helical elements and three loops (D, anti-codon, and T loops). Lineage: Eukaryota; Metazoa; Platyhelminthes; Trematoda; Plagiorchiida; Fasciolidae. The record is from RNAcentral.
AGCGCGAUAGCUCAGCGGGUAGAGCAUCUGCCCGGAAUGCGGAGUGUUGCCGGUUCUAGACCGGCUUGCGGCU